This 72-nucleotide transfer RNA is filed under the name Saccoglossus kowalevskii. Its description in RNAcentral is "tRNA-Gln". It matches the Rfam family "tRNA". From Rfam's summary of the family: Transfer RNA (tRNA) molecules are approximately 80 nucleotides in length. Their secondary structure includes four short double-helical elements and three loops (D, anti-codon, and T loops). Further hydrogen bonds mediate the characteristic L-shaped molecular structure. tRNAs have two regions of fundamental functional importance: the anti-codon, which is responsible for specific mRNA codon recognition, and the 3' end, to which the tRNAs corresponding amino acid is attached (by aminoacyl-tRNA synthetases). tRNAs cope with the degeneracy of the genetic code in two manners: having more than one tRNA (with a specific anti-codon) for a particular amino acid; and 'wobble' base-pairing, i.e. permitting non-standard base-pairing at the 3rd anti-codon position. The record is from RNAcentral. Lineage: Eukaryota; Metazoa; Hemichordata; Enteropneusta; Harrimaniidae.
GGUCCUAUGGUGUAAUGGUUAGCACUCUGGACUCUGAAUCCAGCGAUCCGAUUUCAAAUCUCGGUAGGACCU